AGCAGUGGCUUUUGGCUACUCCCUUUUUAUGAAUUGAGGCACGUCUCCAUUCUUAUUCACCACACAUUUCUCUCUAUCUGCCUUCAUGGCUUUUCUUUCGACGACCUGAAACGGUGAACAACGAUUGCCUUUUGGUUGGAGCUCUCUCACGUAUUCUAAUCUGGCCCCACAAAUCUCAGUGAAGAUAAGUCAUGUUAGUGAAGCCCUGAAAAAACACCACAUACCUAUUUCUCUCUCUACCUCUCGGUAAAAGACAAGUCAUCUCAGUAAAAUGCCCUCAAAAACAAAAUCAAAGAGGUACCAUUACCUUCUAGCUAGCGUUUGGAGAAUUGGCAGUACUGAGAAUCAGAGGUACCAUUCCCUUCCACCUAGCGUCUGGAGAAUUGGCAGAGGUACCAUUCCCUUCCAGCUGGUGUCUGGUAAAUUGGCAUGUUUUGUGGAGAGAUGUAUCAUUGGCUUACCAUGCUUCAGGUAAAUAUCAGGAUGUGCCAUAAGGUCACGAAUCUUCCUUAUUUGAUGGCCACGGGGCCUUUUAUGUGUAGGCGGAAUGCCAAUGGUGUAAAAGGGUUAAACCUUUUCUCUUGAUUUAAAUGAUGUAAGCUUACGGGCAAUUUAUUUGAAUGUAAAUUCAUGUUGCAUUCAUUUUA
This is a non-coding RNA of Camellia sinensis, 647 nucleotides long. NCBI's taxonomy places the organism in Eukaryota, Viridiplantae, Streptophyta, Magnoliopsida, Ericales, Theaceae. The record is from RefSeq and is a predicted model, not a curated record.